This 218-nucleotide long non-coding RNA is filed under the name Ananas comosus (pineapple). Its description in RNAcentral is "long non-coding RNA (ACOM_LNC025139)". Lineage: Eukaryota; Viridiplantae; Streptophyta; Magnoliopsida; Poales; Bromeliaceae. The record is from RNAcentral.
GAGACGGAUAAAAAAGAAAGUGAAUUUUUAAAAAUUCUUUGAUAGAUUGGGACGAAUUGAAAGAAGAAAAGAAUCUUUCACCUCUUACUUUAUUUACUUAGCGGAUCAAAACAGAUUCGAAACGAGAUAUAAUUUUUAUAUAUUUUUUAUUCCUACUUAUUGUCUUAUUCGGAACAGGAGCUCCAUCAAUUCGGAUCUGUUUGCAUCCCUAUUAAGGU